RNAcentral lists this ribosomal RNA (468 nucleotides) under uncultured bacterium. RNAcentral's name for it is "partial 16S ribosomal RNA". It matches the Rfam family "Bacterial small subunit ribosomal RNA", at positions 28 to 507 of the family's 1533-position model. The record is from RNAcentral.
GACGAACGCUGGCGGCGUGCUUACCACAUGCAAGUCGAACGGAAAGGCCCUGCUUUUGUGGGGUGCUCGAGUGGCGAACGGGUGAGUAACACGUGAGUAACCUGCCCUUGACCUUGGGAUAACUUCAGGAAACUGGGGCUAAUACCGGAUAGGAGCUCCUGCUGCAUGGUGGGGGUUGGAAAGUUUCGGCGGUUGGGGAUGGACUCGCGGCUUAUCAGCUUGUUGGUGGGGUAGUGGCUUACCAAGGCUUUGACGGGUAGCCGGCCUGAGAGGGUGACCGGCCACAUUGGGACUGAGAUACGGCCCAGACUCCUACGGGAGGCAGCAGUGGGGAAUAUUGCACAAUGGGCGGAAGCCUGAUGCAGCAACGCCGCGUGCGGGAUGACGGCCUUCGGGUUGUAAACCGCUUUCGCCUGUGACGAAGCGUGAGUGACGGUAAUGGGUAAAGAAGCACCGGCUAACUACGUG